Ahaetulla prasina is the source of this 6141-nucleotide long non-coding RNA. RefSeq lists it as uncharacterized. The record is from RefSeq and is a predicted model, not a curated record. NCBI's taxonomy places the organism in Eukaryota, Metazoa, Chordata, Lepidosauria, Squamata, Colubridae. The transcript is spliced from 4 exons.
AAGAAAACAAAAGCCUCUGAUGAUCAGGCAGAGGCUCCACAGGCUCUUAGAUUGCCAGGCCUCAGUGCUCGCUGUCUGAACUGAGGUCCACCCAACUGAGCUCCCCGGGAGGCAGAAGCUGCAUCACUGCACCCAGACAUCCACUUUCACGGACACCCGGCUGGUUCCCUGAGGAUCAUCUCACUGGCAGCAUUCAGGGCUGUGCAUGCCCCCCCAGCCUCCCCCCCCCUCCCCCGCACAAAUUCAAGGGGAAGCUCCCUGGGCUUCGUCUGUGAGCAGAUGGGAAAAAGCUCACAGAGGGUAAUUAUAGCUCUGGCCCUUUUAUACCAGCCGUGGUGCAGAAAGAGGAAGGAAGCCUGCAUGGAGCCCUUUGACGUAAGGCUCCCCCGCUCCCCCCCCCCAUGUGUGAAUUAGACUCAUAUGAUGAGACCUGAGGCGGCUGCCUUGUUUGCCUCAGAGGAAAGAAACCGCAGCUUCUCCCUUACGGCUCCCACAGCUGCUGCCCAGCAACAGGCUCCCUCCACCACUCCACCCCCCACCCCCCGCGGCGGCAGCAGCAGCAAUGAAGGAGGGGGAGGGUCUUUUGGGAAGGCCCAACCUCUCAGUCAGAGGCUGCAUCACUCCUCCUUUCAGGACGUCUGGAUGCACCUGCUCAACAAAUCCAGAGACAUCCCCCCCACAAAUGGAGACCAAUGAAAACCAGACAAGGAACUUUGGGGAAGGGGAGGUGGAGGGCAACAAAGUCAUUCAGAGCCCCUUUGCUCUCCUGGGCUCUGCAGUUGCUGGAGAAAGACCCAGCUCACCACUACAGAAGCCCUGCUUGAGACCAUGGACCCCACACCACUUGUGAGGCCGGUGGGGGAUGGCUGCAGGCAGCCAAGUCCAAAGGGCCAGAGCCGCUUUCAUUCCGCUGCCCCCUUCUUGCUUUCUGCUGUCCUCGUGGGGGAGGGCAGAAGGCGACCAUGCAACUGGGCAUCUUAUGCCCACACUCUUGAUGCCCAUCCUUAGAACAGGACAGGACUGGGCUGCUGCCAGACGGUAGUUGGUGAGCAAAAUUGCCCCCGGCUGGAAAGCAUCCACCCCAGCCUUAGGAGAGGCUGUGGUCCAUGGGCUGCCCUGGGCCCAAAGGGCCGAAGAGCUGCUCUGGUGCUGAAGAUGUAUCGGAAUCAGGCGAAGUCCCACACCGGUGCAGAGAGCACUUGAUCUUCCUCCAGGCUUGGCGAAGCAAUCUUGUCUCCUGUUCCGGAUUCUGCAAGGCUGCGCGUUAGAAGCAAAAUAAACCCUGUGAAAAGGUGUAUGCAAAUACUGCUUCUAAUCUGCACAAACAAAGCUGAGUGAUUAAUUACAGUCACAAUAUUGCAACAUCUGGGUACUUUGUUGCUUGUUUAAAGACCGUUUCAAAGAGCUGCUUGCAAACCAAGCCUUGCAAGGUCACAGCCCCCGUUACUGGCCAAAUCAUCCUGCUUCGGUGCCUCGCCUCGGAACCAUCAAAGCCCAUCCCAGCCGCUGUGGGGGUCUGCCCCUCUUGCAGAGGUGCCAGGUGAGCUCCAGACAGCAACCUGGGCAGCAGGCAGAGGCUGCCUGGCAAGGAAGCCACAGAUAAACAAGACCCUCAGCAGUUAUAUAAUUAGGCAAUGACGUCUCUCUCUCUUGAACACAAUGUUCAGAAAGAGCCUUAUCUGCAAACCGCAGGAAGCCUUCGAAAAAGGAGCCAGCAAUUAGCAGGCUGCUGAGGCAGAACGGAGCUGGGUCACUUCUGCUGGCUCUUCCCCGGGAGGGGGGGGUCGGCUUUGUCCCCCAACUUUAAGCUCUAGAUUAAGGCAGGGCUUCUACAGCAGCCUUGGAGAUGGGGUGCAACCCUAAACAGUCAUUGCUGGGCAUCGGUUGCUUCCUUUAAGCCAGUUCUAGCACCAGCAAGGAGCUUUGCCCUGGAAGCAGUAGGGAUGCCUUCUGGCUGGGGUGGGGGAGGGGAUUAAGGGCCACACAAAAGAAGGGCCAGUAAGGGCUCUGCUCCCCUCCAGCCUCCCUUCAGUUAUUCUGUUCUGCCCCAGUCCCAGCUCCAUGGGGAAGAAAGGGCUUCCUUUGGGUUGGCACUCGGGCGGGAGGGGGCCACCCAUGGGAGACUGGUAAGCAAUGGGCCACUCUCAGAGAGCGGAGCCACUGGCUGCGAGGGGAAAGGGGGGAGGCUGCACCCCAAGAAGGCUUUCAUUGUGUGGGAGAGCUCUGGAAAGGAUUCCUCCCUUCAAUCAGCUGAUUGCGCGCCUUUGUCUUGCAGGCAGAAUGAAAACAGAAUCCCGGAGCCAGAAUUGCCCAUGGUUGGUGUGGCUAAGCUAAUAUUCUGGCCUCGGUGCCUUUUCAAAAAAAAAUAAAAAAAAAUUACUGCUUGUGACUUUGUUAUUCUAGCUUGCUAUUCCUGCCUGCCCCCAUGGCAGAGUAAAAUAUUUGGGGAAAUGAAUCAGCAGCAUUCUUGACAGCUGUUCAUAGCUCCAAAACCUGAAGAUCUUCUGGGCUAAAGAAAAAAACAUUUCUCCACCCCUCAGACCAAAUCCCAAACUCCUCUCCAGCCUCACAAAGAAAUACUUGCUAAAUUUAUUCAUGGGGUGGGGGGGAAAACCGGAGAGAAGACCCCAGGCUCUUUAUAAAGCCAUGUUUUUCUUCCUCCAGUGGGUCCCCAUCCAGGUGGCCCUCUCAGACCCAGCUGCAGAAGGCUGCCCAGCAGGGUCAACCAGGGAAUCACCUCCCAGCGGCGGGACAAGGCCUCCACCUGCUGGUCACCUUCCCCACCCCUCAGGCCCUCUCCCGCCCUCCCAGAACUUGGGGCAGGGAUGCCAGUUGAGAGCCAGUAAGGAGCACCUGGCCGGCUGGGGUAAACUUUCCCAGGUACCCAGUGAUGAAAUUCAAAUCUUUUACUACCGGUUCUGUAGGCAUGGCUUGGUGGGCAUGGCAGGGGAAGAAUACUGCAAAAUCUCCAUUCCCACCCCACUCUGGAGCCAGCCAGAGGUGGUAUUUGCUGGUUCUCCAAACUACUCAAAAUUUCCUCUUAACAGUUCUCCAGAACCUGUUGGAUUUCACCCCUGCAGGUGCCCCCACCCGGCUUCCUCCAGGUGCUUCAGAAGGGGGCUAUGAGGUCCUCCAAUGUGCCCCCCCCCAUCUCUUAUGCUUAGAAAUCUCAUCCCUGAGGAAUUAACGAGAGGGAGCCGUCGGGAUUGCUUGGUUUUAGACCCUCUCCCUCCACCUAUGCCAAGGAAAGUUCCCAGCUAUAGGGUGCUUGGUCCCUUUCACUCUCGGGGUGUGGGUGGGUGGGGCUCCUGAAAGCUUAAUCACCCAGAGGGUAGGCAAAUUCUUUCCCAGGGAUGAUGUUCCUCUACCAGAAGCAAUGCACAUCUGAGUCUGGGGCAGAGUCAACCUCCUGGGGGUGCCAAGGGAGCUUUUGGCAUGGGGCUAUCAUUGGGGGGGGAGCCCCCCCCAAAGAUGGCAACUGAGGAGGCGGCAAGGGGCAACAACUGCUGGCCUCCCAGAAGGGAGAGAGGGCAGAGGCAGCAUUAUAACCAGGGAUUAUUCUGGAGGAGCCUGAGGGCCUCCAGCUGGCACCCAGGUAUAAAAGGCCAGAUGCUUCGUUCCUGCCUCCUUGCCCAGCGGGAGGGUCCACCUUGCCCUCCAGCCGCCUGCCCGUCUGUCAGCAGCACAAGGUACAGAAGCUGGUCUGCCUGGCCCAUUCUCCAGGCCAGCAGGGCCUCCAGGCCUGGCGGUAAAUGGCCUUCGAUGUUGACCUGGGGAGCCCAGUUGUCCUCCGGCUGCCAAUGCCCAGAGGCUCCCGCACACCUGUCCCACCAGAGGUGGGGGGGAAGGGGAUCCCUCCCUCCCUCUCUCUCUCUCUCUCUCUCUGGGGGGCAUUUGAGAGCAGAACUUGUGAUCCUUCAGGUGACUCUUCAGGUUUCCUUCUUCAGUGUGGUCUAUAACUUCACUGAUAGUGCAGGGACUUUGGGUGGCUGGCUGGGCAUGGAGAGCUGUAGGAGAAAUGUCCUGCCAAUACCCGCCUCUUCCCCUUUGCUCUCUGAGACUUAUGUUCCUGCAAUCUUUGUCAAUGCAUUUUGAAGUUUGCAGACCGAGGCUGAGUAAAUAGCCUCUUCUCAUUCUGUUUAUUUGCAGAACCGACACAUCAUAACUUAUGUAAGUUAUUCCAUUUGGCAAGGUGACAAAGGCAGGAUUGGCACAAAAUGUCUAAAUUAUGACCUCUUUCUUAGCAAUAACAGAGUCUCACAUUGUUAAUUAAAGACAAUCAGAUUUAAAGUCCCAAAAGUGAAAGUCUGUUUUGCUUGUGAAAAGGGAGGCCAUAGCAAAUCGGGGUGGGGGGCGGUGGGUGUCUUUCUAUGGGGCUAGAUUGCUUUUACCAAGUGGGCCACUUGGAACCAGGUGUAAUUGCUGGUGCCCAGUUGGUGACUCUUCUCUGACUGGGGCUGCUGCAGCUGAGGCCAAGCGGUGUCCACUCUGGGGCCUUCCUGGGUGGAAAAAGGGACUGCUUGGUGGCUGUUCCGGGGGCGACAUUUGCAUCCUGCCCCCUUAACUGAGCAAGCGCCCUUUAGCACCACCUCUUUGCCCUUUUGGUGAGCGGCAGUAGCAGCACCAAAACAAAGGACUCGCCAGCAGAAGCUGAGAACAAGAAGUCCUCCAUGCUAAUAAGGCACAUGUUGCAUAACUUGGAAGCAGCUCCGUGCCAGGAUUGCAGCAGCCACUGGAUGGCGCCCAGGGGCGGGGCAGCGCUCCCCAGCCUACACUCUCCAAGCCCAGCCAAGGCAGACACACGACUCCCUCAUUCCACUCAAAACCCCAAGGUGGCUGCACAGAUUGCCACUGUGCCAGGUGCGAAGUCCAUUUGGGUCACUUCAAGCACCCACGAGAGCCACAGGGGCCCCAAGUGGCCCGGAAGGGGUUGGCAAGGCUGUUUGGAUGCUGGUCCCUGGUCACCCAAUCCUGCGCACAAAGGAGCAGCCACUUUCUGCAGAAUGUCCGGGAAGGGUGGCAGGUGGUCAGACCAUGCAAUUUCAGAGGCUUCUUUUCUCCUCUUCACUGUCUGUAGCCACUAAGGCUGUUCUGGACCUAUGGAAAGGGUGGGGAAAGCUGCAGCUGUGUGUCCUCCCCGCCCACUCACCCCACCUUCUUGCUGCAGUUGGAAGGACCAUGUCAAAGCCAACUCCAUGUCAAUGAUGUAGGAGUGUCCCAAACACGUUUCUGGUGGACCAGCCUUGAGACCAAACUGGGCUUGGCAGAUGCUCUGUGAGGCUCGCUCGUUCACACCCUGGCCUUUUCCUUGAGGACUGCCUGAAAACAAUCCUGACAGCUUCCGAGGACAACUGGGAGCCCCGGGACUUUGAGGACUCGGAGGAAGCCGCCCUGGCCGAUGCGGUGGACACGCUUGAAUGGGCCAUGCAAGACAGCAAGUCCUCUUCGGCUGCUGGGAGCCUGCAGAAGCACAUGGAUGACAGCGACUUUGGUGGAAGCGACUCCGGCAGUUUUGCCUCCAAGGACUCGGAGCACCUGUUAUGUUCGGAAGACUCCGAGCACACAGAGGAUGGCCGUUUACUGCGAAGUCUAGAUCUGGAACACGACAAGGGGAGCACCGGAUUCAAACAAAAGCGAACGUAAGGAGCUGCGGCCAGCCCUGCUAACCCUGAGUAUCAGUGAAGGCGGGAUAUUCUGGUCAACCUUCCCAAGCAAUCAUCUGCAGACCCCGAAGAUCUCAGCUCAGAGGUUUUUGCAAUGCAGGACCAGUCUAGUUCCUCUAUUCCCAGAUUCAAAUCCUUGUGCGGCCUGAACUAAGAUCCUUUUUGUAAAAAGAUUUUAUAAAAACUGCCAGAAAGAGCUGACCCAGUAAAUGUGCAAGACUUGCUAAGGAUAAAACCACCGUAACCAACUGCAAUCUCUUCAGUAAGUGCCUCCUCCUCUUCCUCAUUUCUCCAAUGCUUUCGGAAUAUUCCCUUCACAUGCAUACACACGUGUUCAUAAACUCUAUAGACUGACCUUCCUGACGCAUCUGGCUGUUUCUUUUAUGAUGGUGGCUUAGAGUCCUCUCCCUCUUGUAAGCAUAGGAACAAAAUGCCCCCCAUGGGGCAAUUCCCCACAGGGACAGAAAUAUUUAACUGA